GUGCGGUUGGCGCAGUGGUCAGCGCGUUCACUCUCAAGCUGGGGUUUUCAGGGGCAUCUAUGGAGGGGUGGCAGACUCCAUACUGAAAACCGGACACCAGGUGGCCGUGAAAGGACCCGGGUUCGAAUCCCGGACCGCACA
Non-coding RNA from Neurospora tetraspora, 141 nucleotides. Lineage: Eukaryota; Fungi; Ascomycota; Sordariomycetes; Sordariales; Sordariaceae. The record is from the annotation of a RefSeq genome assembly.